This 426-nucleotide ribosomal RNA is filed under the name uncultured prokaryote. RNAcentral describes it as "bacterial SSU rRNA". It matches the Rfam family "Bacterial small subunit ribosomal RNA", at positions 355 to 796 of the family's 1533-position model. The record is from RNAcentral.
UGGGGAAUUUUCCGCAAUGGGCGCAAGCCUGACGGAGCAAUACCGCGUGCGGGAGGAAGGCCUUUGGGUCGUAAACCGCUUUUGUUAGGGAAGAAAAUUUGACGGUACCUAACGAAUCAGCCUCGGCUAACUCCGUGCCAGCAGCCGCGGUAAGACGGAGGAGGCAAGCGUUAUCCGGAAUUAUUGGGCGUAAAGCGUCCGCAGGUGGCAUCUCAAGUCUGCUGUCAAAGCCCAGGGCUCAACUCUGGAUCGGCAGUGGAAACUGAGGCGCUAGAGUACGGUAGGGGCAGAGGGAAUUCCCAGUGUAGCGGUGAAAUGCGUAGAUAUUGGGAAGAACACCAGUAGCGAAAGCGCUCUGCUGGGCCGUAACUGACACUCAUGGACGAAAGCUAGGGGAGCGAAAGGGAUUAGAUACCCCUGUAGUCC